Molecule: long non-coding RNA, 894 nt
Organism: Ictalurus punctatus (channel catfish)
Lineage: Eukaryota; Metazoa; Chordata; Actinopteri; Siluriformes; Ictaluridae
Exons: 5
Source: RefSeq, a predicted model, not a curated record
CUCGGACGAAUCUAGUGUAACACAGCAGGUGGAAGGAAGGACAUUUUCUGACAGAAAGUCUUUUCGCAUUGUGUCGUGUCCUGAGACUUUACACCUCUUAUGAUGAAAUCCAGACGACGCUCUUCAGGAAAAUCUCCACAGGCUCCUGCUGCUACUGGCUCAAAGGUAAUGUCACCACGUCUUGGUAAAGUUGGCAUUUGAAUAUAAUAUGGGAAAUUUACUAAAUGUAUCAAACAUUUUACUAAUGUACAUGAAUCAAGGUCUGAAUUUUAUUAUCUUUUGACAUUGUCAUACAUCAAUGGCAAAUAUCUGCCAGCAAAAGGGAAAUUUACAACACCCACCAACCAUUCUGCUCAGUAUUAUGGUGAUUAUUCAUAAUAUUAUAUCUUUGUGAAUGAAAGAGAUUUUUUAAUGAAGGCAUGAGACUUCUCUAUGAAGUUUAAAUUGUUAGCAGUGUGCAGAAUCGGAUUUUUGGAGUACUGCACAUGCGCCUAAUUUUGCCAGUAACGAUUUCCAAGGACAGACGGACGCUAAGGAAAAGUUCUUUCACAGACACUCUUUUCCAGUCCAGAAUGAACACUGAAAAGAGAGAGAGACACACAGGAGCAGCAGGACCAGAGACAGGCUCCACAGCAGCAACAACAUGACCAAGAUGAUAAGACACUUGUACUUUUUGAAGAAUAAGGCUUUUUUUUCCUUGGUUACAAUAACUUAAUUUAUAUGAUAAGUUAAUCAUUUAUGAAUCGAUAAUAUUUAUGAAGUUUAUUUGUUUUUUGUUCUACAUAUGAAUUUGUUGGUAAGACUAAAAUAUAAUUAUUUAGCUUAAUGUCUGUGUACUGGCUUAGUAUGUUUGGGGGAAUGACAAAAUGCUGAUGAAUAAAUGCUAUAAAUUUG